Non-coding RNA from Peromyscus maniculatus bairdii (prairie deer mouse), 1016 nucleotides. Lineage: Eukaryota; Metazoa; Chordata; Mammalia; Rodentia; Cricetidae. The record is from RefSeq and is a predicted model, not a curated record.
UUGUAGUCAUAAAGCAUCUUUCCUUCGUGAGGAAAAAGGGGAGAAGAGGUGGUGGUGGUGGGGAGGUGACCAGGAAAGAAAAUGUAAAGAGAGCUGAAACAGAGAAAGAGGACUGGAAAGGCACCGUGUCAACAGCAUGUCUGCCAAUUUUCUCAGCACAUGCCUUGGGUACUUUCCGGGUGUUAGCAGGAGAGACCACAGAGACCUAGGAAUUCUAGCACUGAAAGACAGUGCAGGACCACUAGUGGUGUCUGUCUUAUAUCCAUAGCCUCAACUUAAUCCACGUGACCUACGGGUGCUUUGAUAAUUCCUACCUGUGGGAGGGGAAUUGCAGGCUCAUUUAAUCCCACAGCGAGAGGCACAUAACUGGGUCUUCAUGGUGGCCUUGCCUUCCCUCCUAAAACAACCUCUGCUCAGUAUCUUCCAUGUGCCAGUCACUGAGCAGACUCUGGGCUUCAGAGGCACAUGAGGAGCAGGAUGCUUGUUGGGCAUUUGAGUGUUGCAUUCCGCAAGUUUCACUGCAACACGUUGCUUUUCUUGCACCACACCCUUCGCAGGGGUUGUCACGACGUGUUAGCCUGCAAGGAUGGCACUGUCUUGGCUGAGAAGCGAGUGAGCUUAGAGGAGAGUUGAUGUCCCUAAUGGGUGACCCAGAUUCUGGUCCUGGAUGGCCCAGCACUUCCAAGUCGGGAAUCCUAGCCAAUGAAACUCCUGUUGUUCCUCCUCUUCCUGAAGAUUCCUCCAAAGCUCACCUCCCCUCUGGCUCCCACUGCCCCCAGUGACUGAGGCUCUUGCCUCCCUACAGCCACCGCUCCGACUCAUUGUCAUCCCAAUCCAGCUGCCACCUUAGACCCUCUCAGUACACAGCCAAAAGGAUGAUCCUAAAAUUACUGGAGGAAAGAGCCCACUACACCCGGAAAUCUGCUCACAGUGACUCCUCACAUAGUCCUGUCUGUACAGGCGGGUGGUCAAGGCAGUCUUCUGCAGACUGGCCUAGCUCGGAGGGGAAGAUGAGG